Molecule: ribosomal RNA, 465 nt
Filed under: uncultured bacterium
Lineage: Bacteria
Description: partial 16S ribosomal RNA
Rfam family: Bacterial small subunit ribosomal RNA
Source: RNAcentral
GAUGAACGCUGGCGGCGUGCUUAACACAUGCAAGUCGAACGGAAUGGCUCCUGCUUGCAGGGGUACUCGAGUGGCGAACGGGUGAGUAACACGUGGGUGAUCUGCCCUGCACUUCGGGAUAAGCCUGGGAAACUGGGUCUAAUACCGGAUAGGACGAUGGUUUGGAUGCCAUUGUGGAAAGUUUUUCGGUGUGGGAUGAGCUCGCGGCCUAUCAGCUUGUUGGUGGGGUAAUGGCCUACCAAGGCGUCGACGGGUAGCCGGCCUGAGAGGGUGUACGGCCACAUUGGGACUGAGAUACGGCCCAGACUCCUACGGGAGGCAGCAGUGGGGAAUAUUGCACAAUGGGCGCAAGCCUGAUGCAGCGACGCCGCGUGGGGGAUGACGGCCUUCGGGUUGUAAACUCCUUUCGCUAGGGACGAAGCGCAAGUGACGGUACCUGGAGAAGAAGCACCGGCUAACUACGUG